RNAcentral lists this ribosomal RNA (179 nucleotides) under uncultured Sphingomonadales bacterium. RNAcentral's name for it is "partial 16S ribosomal RNA". It matches the Rfam family "Bacterial small subunit ribosomal RNA", at positions 35 to 241 of the family's 1533-position model. The record is from RNAcentral. Lineage: Bacteria; Pseudomonadati; Pseudomonadota; Alphaproteobacteria; Sphingomonadales.
GCUGGCGGCAUGCCUANCAUGCAAGUCGAACGAAGCCUUCGGGCUUAGUGGCGCACGGGUGCGUAACGCGUGGGAACCUGCCUUUAGGUUCGGAAUAACAGUUAGAAAUGACUGCUAAUACCGGAUAAUGUCUNCGGACCAAAGAUUUAUACGCCUUUNAGNAUGGGGCCCCGCCGUUU